AAGCCUGCGAAGGUGUGCUGUGAGGCAUGCUGGAGGUAUCAGAAGUGCGAAUGCUGACAUAAGUAACGAUAAAGCGGGUGAAAAGCCCGCUCGCCGGAAGACCAAGGGUUCCUGUCCAACGUUAAUCGGGGCAGGGUGAGUCGACCCCUAAGGCGAGGCCGAAAGGCGUAGUCGAUGGGAAACAGGUUAAUAUUCCUGUACUUGGUGUUACUGCGAAGGGGGGACGGAGAAGGCUAUGUUGGCCGGGCGACGGUUGUCCCGGUUUAAGCGUGUAGGCUGGUUUUCCAGGCAAAUCCGGAAAAUCAAGGCUGAGGCGUGAUGACGAGGCACUGCGGUGCUGAAGCAACAAAUGCCCUGCUUCCAGGAAAAGCCUCUAAGCAUCAGGUAACAUCAAAUCGUACCCCAAACCGACACAGGUGGUCAGGUAGAGAAUACCAAGGCGCUUGAGAGAACUCGGGUGAAGGAACUAGGCAAAAUGGUGCCGUAACUUCGGGAGAAGGCACGCUGAUAUGUAGGUGAAGUCCCUCGCGGAUGGAGCUGAAAUCAGUCGAAGAUACCAGCUGGCUGCAACUGUUUAUUAAAAACACAGCACUGUGCAAACACGAAAGUGGACGUAUACGGUGUGACGCCUGCCCGGUGCCGGAAGGUUAAUUGAUGGGGUUAGCGCAAGCGAAGCUCUUGAUCGAAGCCCCGGUAAACGGCGGCCGUAACUAUAACGGUCCUAAGGUAGCGAAAUUCCUUGUCGGGUAAGUUCCGACCUGCACGAAUGGCGUAAUGAUGGCCAGGCUGUCUCCACCCGAGACUCAGUGAAAUUGAACUCGCUGUGAAGAUGCAGUGUACCCGCGGCAAGACGGAAAGACCCCGUGAACCUUUACUAUAGCUUGACACUGAACAUUGAGCCUUGAUGUGUAGGAUAGGUGGGAGGCUUUGAAGUGUGGACGCCAGUCUGCAUGGAGCCGACCUUGAAAUACCACCCUUUAAUGUUUGAUGUUCUAACGUUGACCCGUAAUCCGGGUUGCGGACAGUGUCUGGUGGGUAGUUUGACUGGGGCGGUCUCCUCCUAAAGAGUAACGGAGGAGCACGAAGGUUGGCUAAUCCUGGUCGGACAUCAGGAGGUUAGUGCAAUGGCAUAAGCCAGCUUGACUGCGAGCGUGACGGCGCGAGCAGGUGCGAAAGCAGGUCAUAGUGAUCCGGUGGUUCUGAAUGGAAGGGCCAUCGCUCAACGGAUAAAAGGUACUCCGGGGAUAACAGGCUGAUACCGCCCAAGAGUUCAUAUCGACGGCGGUGUUUGGCACCUCGAUGUCGGCUCAUCACAUCCUGGGGCUGAAGUAGGUCCCAAGGGUAUGGCUGUUCGCCAUUUAAAGUGGUACGCGAGCUGGGUUUAGAACGUCGUGAGACAGUUCGGUCCCUAUCUGCCGUGGGCGCUGGAGAACUGAGGGGGGCUGCUCCUAGUACGAGAGGACCGGAGUGGACGCAUCACUGGUGUUCGGGUUGUCAUGCCAAUGGCACUGCCCGGUAGCUAAAUGCGGAAGAGAUAAGUGCUGAAAGCAUCUAAGCACGAAACUUGCCCCGAGAUGAGUUCUCCCUGACUCCUUGAGAGUCCUGAAGGAACGUUGAAGACGACGACGUUGAUAGGCCGGGUGUGUAAGCGCAGCGAUGCGUUGAGCUAACCGGUACUAAUGAACCGUGAGG
RNAcentral lists this ribosomal RNA (1692 nucleotides) under Escherichia coli. RNAcentral describes it as "partial 23S ribosomal RNA". It matches the Rfam family "Bacterial large subunit ribosomal RNA", at positions 1244 to 2915 of the family's 2925-position model. Lineage: Bacteria; Pseudomonadati; Pseudomonadota; Gammaproteobacteria; Enterobacterales; Enterobacteriaceae. The record is from RNAcentral.